RNAcentral lists this long non-coding RNA (261 nucleotides) under Phoenix dactylifera (date palm). RNAcentral describes it as "long non-coding RNA (PDAC_LNC008536)". The record is from RNAcentral. Lineage: Eukaryota; Viridiplantae; Streptophyta; Magnoliopsida; Arecales; Arecaceae.
UUGGGUCGACUCAAGUUUCAUUUGGGUCGACCCUCUCAGGGAUUCCAGAGACUUGUUUUCUUGAGGCUUGAAGAUGGGGUCGACUCAACUUUUACUUGGGUCGACCCAAGUACUGUUCAUCCGUGCCAUUUUUGCAGAAGUGUGCCAGAUGGUUUCUUGAUGUGCCGGGGUCGACUCUACCAAGUUUGGGGUCGACUCAAUCCACACUUUGCUGCAACUUAAGGUUAGAUUCAUCCAUAUAAUCAAUGAAAUAAACUUCAA